AAAUUCUCUAAAAUUUCUACCAAAAAUUCUAUACAAUUUCUUCAAAUUUGGUAGAACUUUUUUGUUUGUACAUUUUUUUGUUAGAUCGAAUUUUAAGCUUCAGAUAAUACUUUUGUGGACGGUUUUUGUUGCUCCAAUUAGUAUUAUUCUUUAGGGUUUUUGUUUUGAGAUCCGGUUUAUUUAUUGGUUAUGAAUCCCAGAGGAAGAUAUCCACCGCCGGGAAUGGGAAGCGGCGGCGGAGGCGGCGGACGCGGGGGCGGAAACAUGUACCCUAACGCUAACCCUAAUUUUCAACCGAGAAAUCCACAGCAGUAUGUGCAGAGAGGUCCGGUGAACCAGCAGCAGCAGUUUCAGAACCAACAGGCACAGCAAUGGCUCAGAAGGAACCAGUUGGCAUCUGAUUCUACGGUUGAUGAGGUUGAAAAGACGGUACAAUCUGAAGCAGUUGAUCAAAGUUCACAAGACUGGAAGGCGAGGUUGAAGAUACCACCAGCGGAUACUAGAUACAGGACAGAGGAUGUGACAGCGACCAAGGGAAAUGAAUUUGAAGACUAUUUUCUUAAGCGUGAAUUGCUUAUGGGAAUUUAUGAAAAGG
RNAcentral lists this unclassified non-coding RNA (595 nucleotides) under Hevea brasiliensis (rubber tree). Lineage: Eukaryota; Viridiplantae; Streptophyta; Magnoliopsida; Malpighiales; Euphorbiaceae. The record is from RNAcentral.